AGGAAGAGGAGGGAAAGGUGACCGGGAGAGCGGGGCGCUGUGCCAGGGAGCAGCAUCCAGGACCGUGAUCGUGGGCAGGGGGGACGCGCCGGGCCGAGUGUGCCCGAGACCAGGCGCGUACACGUGUCCGUGUGUGUGUGUGAGGAGUGUGUGUGAGCGAGAGGAGAGGCGAGGAGAGGAGCCUACCAUGCGCUUCCCCCGGUGCAGAUCGCGGGAGAGCCCAAUCACAGGGCGAGCUGGACCCGGCUCUGAUCAUUUAUAAUCCUUGACUCCUCCGCUCCGCCACUUGUCAAGAUGACAGGGGUCAUCCAUGAAUAACACUUCACGCUGAUGAAUGGCUCUUGCCGGCUUUCGGCUCUGAUGAGGGGUCUGCCCGCCGCUGAUUGCAAACACUAAUGAACUUGCAGCGCCGUGUGAAAUUCACGCGCGCCAACAAAGUGCGGGGGGUGGGCAUUUCAGGGCAGCUGAGUCACCCGAGGAGGUGGGAGUGCGAGACACUGCCGGGAAGAGGGAUUCGGAGGCAGAAGGGUGUAAUUAAGGAUUUCCACCCCCAGUAGGCGGUCCGUCCUUUCCAGAGCCUCUGCAAAUGACCUGCGCCUUCUUUUCCUGAGCGUCCUCUCCUCCGAGACAGAAAAGCGCAAAUGACCUUCGGACGGGGGAGGGCGGUACUAAACACUCAGACUUCCGCGCGAGCGCCAGCUGAGCGCUGUAUUAAAACAAGUGUCCGCCCCCGGGUUCAAGUGCCUGGACCUCCAACAAGCACGAACUGACCGGGGGCGGACUCUUGAGUCUUCUGAAGGCUCCGCACCCCUCAUUCAUUCGUGCAUUCAUUCAUUCCCUCCCUCCCCGCAGAUUAGCUGCGGAGCUCUAACGGUCUCAACUUUGUGUGCUGUCAGAGGAAACAAAGUUUACUGCUUUGCGCUGGACACUGCCACUUCCUACUCAAGUUCUCACCAAAAACUUUGCCUCCUGGAUCCCCAGGCCCAGCCCGCCUAGGCUAGAAAAAAAGCCCUGGGGGUGUGGUGGGGGUGGGGGCAAGCUUUCCAAACUGCUGGGAGCUCCCGCUGUGCCGGAGUUUGGGAACACCGAAUGGGGCGGCCUCUGUGGAGCUGCUCGCUGGCUCCUCUGUCCCUUGGAUCCUUCUGUCACCUUUCUGUUCUGACAUCUGGCGGUGGACCGGGUGGGGCGUGCGCGCUUGGAGCCCCCUCGGUGGGGCGCCUGAAAUGCCCCCGCCUUCCCGGGGACCGCCGCCUGCCCGCGAGUAGUUGAGCGUCAAAGUCCCGGCCUGUUCUCGGAAACCUGGCGGAGUGCCUGGUGCGCGCCCAGCCUUCUCGUCCCACCUCCCACGCUCAGCUUCAGAACCGCGACACCCCCGGCCUGUCCCUACUUUGACUCGGCGGGAAGGAAAUAACCCUUGCCCGUGUGACUGCAGAGCGACAAACAGGUCACGCGACUGCGAAACAGGGACAACGCCGCCUAGGAAAGCCUGGGUCCCUUUAUGAGAGUUACUCCAAAGUUUGGGCUAGAACUGACAAAGAGAAUCCCUGAACUCCAAUGCGAGUGUGCCCCGACCCACGUCCGAGCUCCUGAGGAUGCUAAGUGACCCAGUCCCCGCAACGCGCGAGAAAAGUCGGGGCAUAAACAAGCCCGACCUGACUCCGCGGCGCGAGAGACGCAAAGCGCCACACUCACAUCUUGGCUGGAGGAACUGAGUUGCCUUGGGGUGGAUAGUCGCCUUCCUGCCUUGUGAA
Molecule: long non-coding RNA, 1751 nt
Organism: Tupaia belangeri chinensis (Chinese tree shrew)
Lineage: Eukaryota; Metazoa; Chordata; Mammalia; Scandentia; Tupaiidae
Exons: 3
Source: RefSeq, a predicted model, not a curated record